UAAGGGGACUAUACUGGUGUUGCUCCACCUGAUCCCAUUCCGAACUCAGAAGUGAAAUACACCAAGGCCGAUGAUAGUGGGUUUUCCCGCGAAAGUAGGUAGUCCUCCUAC
Molecule: ribosomal RNA, 111 nt
Filed under: bacterium
Lineage: Bacteria
Source: RNAcentral